This 138-nucleotide non-coding RNA is filed under the name Candidatus Paraburkholderia kirkii UZHbot1. Its description in RNAcentral is "Candidatus Burkholderia kirkii UZHbot1 SAH (S-adenosyl-L-homocysteine) riboswitch aptamer". It matches the Rfam family "SAH (S-adenosyl-L-homocysteine) riboswitch aptamer". The record is from Rfam by way of RNAcentral. Lineage: Bacteria; Pseudomonadati; Pseudomonadota; Betaproteobacteria; Burkholderiales; Burkholderiaceae. RNAcentral also lists the same sequence under 1 other name.
GUCUUCGAGGAGCGUUGCGACGGGCAAACGGCUGAAAAACACCGCCCGCCAGGCUCGAAGGCUUUCAAUUCGGAAGAAGUGUAUGAGUGGAUGCGUGCCGCCCCACCACUCUCCCGCAUCGAACGGCGCUCACGUCAA